Molecule: long non-coding RNA, 1055 nt
Organism: Hippopotamus amphibius kiboko
Lineage: Eukaryota; Metazoa; Chordata; Mammalia; Artiodactyla; Hippopotamidae
Exons: 3
Source: RefSeq, a predicted model, not a curated record
CCGCCCAUGCAAUGCUGACUCCUUUCUCUCUCCUGUCUCCACCCUCCCACCCAGCCCUGCUAUCUCCACGCUGCAAUCUUCCAUAAAAAGACAGAAGUGGGGCGCAGGGGAUGGCGCUGGCCCCGGGGACACUGGGAGGUAGAUUCUUGCCCUCCGUCCUGCUGGUCUGAUACAAAGUCUGGCAGCUGGGUUGGGACUGCUCCCCUCCCCCUCAACCUCCCUGGUUCUUUCCAUCCCGGGGCCGCCUCUGACCUGCCUCCAGCCUUUACAUGCAGCCCAACCCCCACCUGGACAGAAGAAGGGCUGGAACUUCCACGGGGCCUGAGCAACGCGCUCCAGAAUCCCCUUCACUUUAGUUCAGUGAGGCUUUCCCACAGUGGCUGAAAGGCCUUCAGCAAUGGCAGCCGCCAGUCCAGCGGGGGAGAGGGGGUCUCUCAUGGACGAAUCUCCGUCUCUCGGUGAGCGCGGCAUCGUGUUGGCUUCCGUGGAGGCUGGAGAGAAGGGCUGCAAGGUGAAGGGUCCCCAGGCCAGUCCGGGUCUUGCUCUCCGGGGAGACGUCAGGGAGAGGGGCCGGAAGGCAUCCCAGUGCACGCGGUCCAGGCCGCCUGGAGCUGGCUGUCAGGUAACUGUGGUGUUUCCCACCAUCCGACGUGAUGGGCCACCUGCCACCCGCAAGGCUGCCUGGCAGACUCCUGGGGGCCCUGCUAUUGGAGAAACCCAGCAAGAUGCCUGGAGGGGUGGCACAUGAGGAACUGCCGGAUGUUUUGCGAAAGAGUUUUUCCCAGCAGGAAGAGAUGCUUUCACAAGGUGAGCAGAGACCUGGGGGUCUGAUCCCCCACCUGUGUGCAACUGGCGUGGGUCACUUAGUCCCCAUCAGCCCACUGUCCCCUGGAGGAAAUGAGGACCCGACAGCACCCACCGUCCUAGAAGCUGGUUGAGAGACUCAGUGAACCCACCGUCCUAGAAGCUGGUUGAGAGACUCGCCCAUCUCCAUAAUGAGAACACGCGUUUCAGGAGGGCACGGACAAGAGCGUCAGGAGGGCAGAGACAAUGCC